RNAcentral lists this ribosomal RNA (506 nucleotides) under uncultured bacterium. RNAcentral's name for it is "partial 16S ribosomal RNA". The record is from RNAcentral.
GGAGUUAGCCGGUGCUUCUUCUGUGAGUGAUGUCCUUCCUGCCGGCUAUUAACCCGCAGGCCUUCUUCCUCACUGAAAGUGCUUUACAACCCGAAGGCCUUCUUCACACACGCGGCAUGGCUGGAUCAGGGUUGCCCCCAUUGUCCAAUAUUCCCCACUGCUGCCUCCCGUAGGAGUCUGGGCCGUGUCUCAGUCCCAGUGUGGCUGAUCAUCCUCUCAGACCAGCUACGGAUCGUCGCCUUGGUGAGCCGUUACCUCACCAACCAGCUAAUCCGACAUAGGCUCAUCCGAUAGCGCGAGGCCCGAAGGUCCCCCGCUUUCCCCCGUAGGGCGUAUGCGGUAUUAGCCUGGGUUUCCCCAGGUUAUCCCCCACUACCGGGCAGAUUCCUAUGCAUUACUCACCCGUCCGCCGCUCGCCACCAGGGAGCAAGCUCCCCGUGCUGCCGCUCGACUUGCAUGUGUUAGGCCUGCCGCCAGCGUUCAUCUGAGCAGAAUACAACUACUGA